UUCCCGGGCCUUGUACACACCGCCCGUCACACCAUGGGAGUGGGUUGCAAAAGAAGUAGGUAGCUUAACCUUCGGGAGGGCGCUUACCACUUUGUGAUUCAUGACUGGGGUGAAGUCGUAACAAGGUAACCGUAGGGGAACCUGCGGUUGGAUCACCUCCUUACCGAAAGAUAUUGAUUUGUGUGGCGUGCUCACACAGAUUGUCUGAUGAAUGU
RNAcentral lists this ribosomal RNA (215 nucleotides) under uncultured Serratia sp. RNAcentral's name for it is "partial 16S ribosomal RNA". The stretch from base 1 to 163 matches the Rfam family "Bacterial small subunit ribosomal RNA", at positions 1371 to 1533 of the family's 1533-position model. The record is from RNAcentral. Lineage: Bacteria; Pseudomonadati; Pseudomonadota; Gammaproteobacteria; Enterobacterales; Yersiniaceae.